Molecule: ribosomal RNA, 465 nt
Filed under: uncultured Klebsiella sp.
Lineage: Bacteria; Pseudomonadati; Pseudomonadota; Gammaproteobacteria; Enterobacterales; Enterobacteriaceae
Description: bacterial SSU rRNA
Rfam family: Bacterial small subunit ribosomal RNA
Source: RNAcentral
CCUACGGGCGGCUGCAGUGGGGAAUAUUGCACAAUGGGCGCAAGCCUGAUGCAGCCAUGCCGCGUGUGUGAAGAAGGCCUUCGGGUUGUAAAGCACUUUCAGCGGGGAGGAAGGCGGUGAGGUUAAUAACCUCAUCGAUUGACGUUACCCGCAGAAGAAGCACCGGCUAACUCCGUGCCAGCCGCCGCGGUAAUACGGAGGGUGCAAGCGUUAAUCGGAAUUACUGGGCGUAAAGCGCACGCAGGCGGUCUGUCAAGUCGGAUGUGAAAUCCCCGGGCUCAACCUGGGAACUGCAUUCGAAACUGGCAGGCUAGAGUCUUGUAGAGGGGGGUAGAAUUCCAGGUGUAGCGGUGAAAUGCGUAGAGAUCUGGAGGAAUACCGGUGGCGAAGGCGGCCCCCUGGACAAAGACUGACGCUCAGGUGCGAAAGCGUGGGGAGCAAACAGGAUUAGAUACCCGAGUAGUC